GGUUAGGGAGAGAGGAGAGGGGUAGGUUAGGGAGAAGAUGUAGGGGUUAGAGAGAUAGGAGAGGGGUUAGGGAGAGGAGAGGGGUUGGUUAGGGAGAAGAUGUAGGGGUUAGAGAGAGAGGAGAGGGGUAGGUUAGGUAGAAGAUGUAGGGGUUAGGGAGAGAGGAGAGGGGUAGGUUAGGUAGAAGAUGUAGGGGUUAGAGAGAGAGGAGAGGGGUUAGGGAGAGAGGAGAGGGGUUAGGGGGAGAGGGGUUAGGGAGAGAGGAGAGGGGUAGGUUAGGUAGAAGAUGUAGGGGUUAGAGAGAAAGGAGAGGGGUAGGUUAGGUAGAAGAUGUAGGGGUUAGAGAGAGAGGAGAGGGGUUAGGGAGAGAGGUGAGGGGUAGGUUAGGUAGAAGAUGUAGGGGUUAGAGAGAGAGGAGAGGGGUUAGGGAGAGAGGUGAGGGGUAGGUUAGGUAGAAGAUGUAGGGGUUAGGGAGAGAGGAGAGGGGUAGGUUAGGUAGAAGAUGUAGGGUUAGAGAGAGAGGAGAGGGGUAGGUUAGGUAGAAGAUGUAGGGGUUAGAGAGAGAGGAGAGGGGUAGGUUAGGUAGAAGAUGUAGGGGUUAGAGAGAUAGGAGAGGGGUAGGUUAGGUAGAAGAUGUAGGGGUUAGAGAGAGAGGAGAGGGGUAGGUUAGGUAGAAGAUGUAGGGGUUAGAGAGAGAGGAGAGAGGUAGGUUAGGUAGAAGAUGUAGGGGUUAGCUGCUACUGUAUAGAUGCCAACCCCAUGUGAUUAUCAUGAUCAACCCCAUGCGAUAGUCCUAGAUAUUCAUCAGAUGGCUCCACCUAUAACCCACAGGUCCUUACUCUGAGGACAUGUUGAAGGGAACGAUAUCCAC
Molecule: long non-coding RNA, 871 nt
Organism: Oncorhynchus keta (chum salmon)
Lineage: Eukaryota; Metazoa; Chordata; Actinopteri; Salmoniformes; Salmonidae
Exons: 3
Source: RefSeq, a predicted model, not a curated record